GACGAACGCUGGCGGCGUGCUUAACACAUGCAAGUCGAACGGUGAAGCGCCUUCCUUUUUGGUGGGUGUGGAUGAGUGGCGAACGGGUGAGUAACACGUGAGUAACCUGCCCCCUUCUUCUGGAUAACCGCAUGAAAGUGUGGCUAAUACGGGAUAUUCUGGGUCUGUCGCAUGAUGGGUCUGGGAAAGAUAUUGUUUCGGUGGGGGAUGGGCUCGCGGCCUAUCAGCUUGUUGGUGGGGUGAUGGCCAACCAAGGCGGUGACGGGUAGCCGGCCUGAGAGGGUGGACGGUCACACUGGGACUGAGACACGGCCCAGACUCCUACGGGAGGCAGCAGUGGGGAAUAUUGCACAAUGGGCGCAAGCCUGAUGCAGCGACGCCGCGUGAGGGAUGGAGGCCUUCGGGUUGUGAACCUCUUUCGCCAGUGAAGCAGGCCUGCCUCGUUUGUGGGUGGGUUGACGGUAGCUGGAUAAGAAGCGCCGGCUAACUACGUG
This 494-nucleotide ribosomal RNA is filed under the name uncultured bacterium. RNAcentral describes it as "partial 16S ribosomal RNA". It matches the Rfam family "Bacterial small subunit ribosomal RNA", at positions 28 to 507 of the family's 1533-position model. The record is from RNAcentral.